CCUACGGGAGGCAGCAGUGGGGAAUAUUGGGCAAUGGGCGCAAGCCUGACCCAGCAACGCCGCGUGAAGGAAGAAGGCUUUCGGGUUGUAAACUUCUUUUCUCAGGGACGAAGCAAGUGACGGUACCUGAGGAAUAAGCCACGGCUAACUACGUGCCAGCAGCCGCGGUAAUACGUAGGUGGCAAGCGUUAUCCGGAUUUACUGGGGGUAAAGGGCGUGUAGGCGGGAAAGCAAGUAAGAUGUGAAAACCAUGGGCUCAACCUGUGACCAGCAUUUGAAACUGUUUUUCUUGAGUACUGGGGGGGAAGAGGGAAUUCCAGGGGUAGCGGGGAA
Molecule: ribosomal RNA, 333 nt
Filed under: uncultured bacterium
Lineage: Bacteria
Description: partial 16S ribosomal RNA
Rfam family: Bacterial small subunit ribosomal RNA
Source: RNAcentral